RNAcentral lists this ribosomal RNA (479 nucleotides) under uncultured Gammaproteobacteria bacterium. Its description in RNAcentral is "bacterial SSU rRNA". It matches the Rfam family "Bacterial small subunit ribosomal RNA", at positions 8 to 480 of the family's 1533-position model. Lineage: Bacteria; Pseudomonadati; Pseudomonadota; Gammaproteobacteria. The record is from RNAcentral.
AGAGUUUGAUCCUGGCUCAGAUUGAACGCUGGCGGUAUGCUUAACACAUGCAAGUCGAACGGUAACAUUGGAGCUUGCUCCAGAUGACGAGCGGCGGACGGGUGAGUAAUGCAUAGGAAUCUGCCUGGUAGUGGGGGACAACAUGUGGAAACGCAUGCUAAUACCGCAUACGCCCUACGGGGGAAAGGGGGGGAUCUUCGGACCUCUCGCUAUUAGAUGAGCCUAUGUCAGAUUAGCUAGUUGGUGGGGUAAUGGCUCACCAAGGCAACGAUCUGUAGCUGGUCUGAGAGGAUGAUCAGCCACACUGGGACUGAGACACGGCCCAGACUCCUACGGGAGGCAGCAGUGGGGAAUAUUGGACAAUGGGCGAAAGCCUGAUCCAGCAAUACCGCGUGUGUGAAGAAGGCCUGAGGGUUGUAAAGCACUUUCAAUUGGGAGGAAUACCUGCUGAGAUAAUAUCAGGCAGAGGNACAUUACCU